RNAcentral lists this transfer RNA (76 nucleotides) under Bacteroidota bacterium. RNAcentral's name for it is "Bacteroidetes bacterium (freshwater metagenome) tRNA-Asn". It matches the Rfam family "tRNA". Rfam says of the family: Transfer RNA (tRNA) molecules are approximately 80 nucleotides in length. Their secondary structure includes four short double-helical elements and three loops (D, anti-codon, and T loops). Further hydrogen bonds mediate the characteristic L-shaped molecular structure. tRNAs have two regions of fundamental functional importance: the anti-codon, which is responsible for specific mRNA codon recognition, and the 3' end, to which the tRNAs corresponding amino acid is attached (by aminoacyl-tRNA synthetases). tRNAs cope with the degeneracy of the genetic code in two manners: having more than one tRNA (with a specific anti-codon) for a particular amino acid; and 'wobble' base-pairing, i.e. permitting non-standard base-pairing at the 3rd anti-codon position. Lineage: Bacteria; Pseudomonadati; Bacteroidota. The record is from RNAcentral.
UUCGGGUUAGCUCAGUUGGUAGAGCGAUGCACUGUUAAUGCAUUGGUCGGAGGUUCGAGUCCUUCACCCGGAGCCA